CAGCCGCCACGGUAAUACAGAGGGUGCGAGCGUUAAUCGGAUUUACUGGGCGUAAAGCGUGCGUAGGCGGCUUCUUAAGUCGGAUGUGAAAUCCCUGAGCUUAACUUAGGAAUUGCAUUCGAUACUGGGAAGCUAGAGUAUGGGAGAGGAUGGUAGAAUUCCAGGUGUAGCGGUGAAAUGCGUAGAGAUCGGGAGGAACAUCAGUGGCGAAGGCGGCCAUCUGGGACAACACUGACGCUGAGGCACGAAAGCGUGGGGAGCAAACAGGAUUAGAUACCCGCGUAGUCCCUGUUCUUAUACA
This 301-nucleotide ribosomal RNA is filed under the name uncultured bacterium. RNAcentral describes it as "partial 16S ribosomal RNA". It matches the Rfam family "Bacterial small subunit ribosomal RNA", at positions 509 to 809 of the family's 1533-position model. The record is from RNAcentral.